Elaeis guineensis (African oil palm) is the source of this 4669-nucleotide non-coding RNA. NCBI's taxonomy places the organism in Eukaryota, Viridiplantae, Streptophyta, Magnoliopsida, Arecales, Arecaceae. The record is from RefSeq and is a predicted model, not a curated record.
UCUGAAUCCGGGUUAUUGGAUGGCUCACCGCGUGCACGUGGUCAAAUCCUUUUAGGCGGCAACGAACUGGCAAAAUAGUUCCCGUGGAAGACGCCGUCAGCCUAACCAUGCACACUUUCUUCAAUUUAAUUUUGACACGCUCGAUUGUGCCAAAAUUUGCAAUCGUGUCCCUCGGGUUCAACGUACUGAAGCAGUCGGCACUCGCUAGGGUCAUUAUCGAAAAUUUAGUUGAAGUGCAGGUCCUCAAACGAGAUACAGCAACUAGUCGGACCGCUGCACAGUUAACGCCGUCAGUUGGGUCGGUUUCGAGUUUCCUCGUUUCCUUCAGGAGCCGAAGCUCUCCGUAGACUAUAAAUAGCACCGAGUCGUUCGUCCAUUAGAAGGGUAAACAAGAAAACAGAUCGAGACAAAUAAGGGAAAGGAGAGAACAAACGAACCAAAAAUAAGGCACGGAAGUUUCGUGGCUCCAAGAAGCCCGGCAUUCUCCACUUGUCUCGGGCUCCCCGCAUUCCAUUCUCCUCCUCCCCUCCCCCUCCUCUCAAUCUCCUCUUUUCGGUCUCUAAUCUUGGCAGUCAAAGAGGGUGAUCUUUUCUUUUCUUGGUUUUAUAUCGCGAGCAUUGUUCUUGAUCCUUCUCUGGAUCUUUGAGUUAAUCAAAGAUCCUAUCUGUUCCACGCCUUAGUUCCUUUUAGAAAGCCUUCUGUUGGCAGUUCGAAGGGUCAAAAAUUUCAAAGCAAUCUGCAAAGAAGGAGCAAAAGAUUCUGAUUUCCAUGUAAAAUUGCUAGCGAAAUUGCUAACAUUGGUGCAAAAAUGAUCGCCCCUGACAUUUCUUUGAGAUUUCUUGCUUCUUUAGAAAGAUCGCUCAUCUUCUUGAACACCAUUAUCCAUAGGUUUGCCUCGCGGUGAAAUUAGUUGUCGGAAUAAAAAAUGCCUCCUGGCGAAGAUAAUGCGAACCUUGAUGCCGACAUGGCUAAAAAGCGAUCGGAAGUAAUAGAGUGGCUCAACGGCCUGUUCCCAGACUUUAGCAUGGCUCCGGAUGCAUCAGAGGAGGAAUUGAGGGCAGCUCUGUUUGAUGGUGCUGUGUUUUGUGCUAUUAUAAGGAGACUCAGUCCUGGCAGCGCAGAGGAAGUUAAGAGUGGUGGUUGUUCUCCAUCGAGGAGACGCUUGGGAAAUAUAAAGAAGUUUAUUUCAGUUGUAGAGCAUAUGGGGUUGCCCACUUUCAAAGUGUCAGACCUAGAACAGGGACGUAUCUCUGCAGUAGUAGUGUGCCUUUUGUGCCUUAGGGAUCAUUUUAAAUCUGUUCUUGGUGAAGAUAGAGAUACAAAUGCGCCAGCCAAGUGGGUAAUCGAAGCAAAGAAGAAGUUGGAGGCUAUAGAUGUUUUGCAGGGGGAUAGCACUCUAAGUGGGCAACAGUCUCCAGUUUUAGGAGAGGAAAGGAGACCGAGCCUCAUGGAAGCAAAGCUUCAGCGAGUUUUAAGAAGUCCUGUUAUGUCUGAGCCAUCGUCUGCUGUGGCACAUAAUGCUGGACACAAGUUUCAUGAAGUUUUCCAGUUAAAGCAGGGGCGUUAUUCUGAUCUUCCUCCUGCUAAGAUUUCAGAAAUGAUGAAAUCAAACAGUUUAGAUAAUGCCCCAACCCAGUCACUUUUGAGUGUUGUGAAUGGGAUUCUUGAUGAAAGCAUUGAGAGAAAGAAUGGGGAAAUACCUCAGCGUGUAGCAUGCUUGUUGAGAAAAGUGGUGCAAGAGAUUGAACGACGUAUUUCAACUCAGGCAGAGCAUAUUCGAAAUCAAAAUAAUCUUAUCAAAGCACGUGAAGAGAAGUAUCAAUCAAGAAUCAAAUUGCUUGAGACACUAGCAACUGGGACAAAUGAAGAAACCCAGAUGGAGAAAAGCAGAACUGAAGAAAGAAAGAAAGUCAGUGAGGAAGAUGUGGUUAGGUUGAUGAAGGAGAAGGAGGAUAGUGAUAAUAUAGUUUCAAAACUUAAGGAGGACUUGAAAACAACAAAAAGGUCAUAUGAACAACACUGUCAGCAACAGGAAACUAAGGCUAAGCAAACUCAAGAGGAAUUAGAGCGGAGAGUAAAGGAGGUUGAAUUUCUUUUAGCAGAGUCAAGGAAGAGGACAAAAGAACUUGAGGCAUUUUCAGCAUCAAAAUCUCAAAACUGGAACCAGAAGGCACAUGUUGUCCACAAUUUCAUAGGUUUACAACUGCUGUCAGUGCAGGAGCUGAGGAUGUCUUCUGAUUCCAUCAAGAAUGAAGUCACAAGUACUCAAAAGAGAUGGUCCGAAGAAUUUACUACAUUUGCUCAGAAGCUGAAAGUAUUAACAGAUGCUGUCAAAAAUUAUCAUACAGUUCUUGCAGAAAACAGGAAAUUGUACAAUGAGGUUCAGGAAUUAAAAGGCAACAUCAGAGUUUAUUGUCGGAUAAGGCCAUUUCUUCCUGGAGAAAACCGAAAGUCAAAUACGAUAAAUUAUAUUGGUGAGGAUGGUGAACUAGUUCUUGUAAACCCUUCCAAACCGGGAAAAGAUGGACAAAAGAUGUUCAAAUUUAACAAGGUUUAUGGUCCAGCUGCUUCUCAAGAGGAAGUCUUCUUAGAUACCCAGCCUUUAAUACGGUCAGUUCUUGAUGGCUACAAUGUAUGCAUCUUUGCAUAUGGUCAAACUGGAUCAGGGAAAACCUACACAAUGACUGGGCCUGACUCACCGACUGAGGAGGAGUGGGGUGUAAACUAUCGAGCUCUGAAUGACCUUUUUCAUAUUUCUCGAACUAGAAGAGACACUUUCAUGUAUGAAGUUGGUGUUCAGAUGGUUGAAAUAUAUAAUGAGCAAGUCCGUGAUCUCCUCAGCAAUGAUGGUUCCGUAAAAAAGCUUGGGAUUGUAAACACUUCUAAACCGAAUGGACUUGCAGUGCCCGAUGCAAGUAUGCGUCCUGUUCAAUCAACAUCUGAUGUGAUGAAUUUAAUGCAAACAGGACUGACAAAUAGGGCUAUGAGUGCUACUGCUCUCAAUGAAAGAAGCAGUCGGUCACACAGUAUUGUGACAGUUCAUGUUCGAGGAGUGGAUUUAAAAACUGGAGCUACUUUGCGUGGUUCUCUUCAUCUGGUAGAUCUUGCUGGAAGUGAGAGAGUUGAUCGUUCUGAAGUUACUGGAGACAGGCUCAAGGAAGCACAACAUAUCAACAAAUCUUUGUCUGCUCUUGGAGAUGUCAUAUUUGCUCUAUCACAGAAAAGCCCUCAUGUACCAUAUAGAAACAGCAAGCUAACUCAAGUCCUGCAAAGUUCUUUAGGUGGACAUGCAAAGACGCUAAUGUUUGUACAGAUAAAUCCUGAUGCUGGAUCUUAUUCAGAGACUUUAAGUACCUUAAAGUUCGCUGAAAGAGUGUCUGGAGUGGAGUUGGGAGCUGCUCGGAGCCAAAAAGAUGGCAAGGAUGUCAAAGAUUUGAUGGAACAGGUGGCAUCUCUUAAAGAUACCAUAGCAAGGAAAGAUGAAGAAAUUGAACAGUUACAAUUGCUCAGAGAUACAACGAAUCAGUCUCCCAGUGUAAAUAGUGAAAGACAAGGUGGUAACACAUUAAAGCAUUCAUCUUCUGCUCCUGGAAUUUCAUCACGAAGUGGGACUGUGCAACAGGGCUGGAGAUCGUCAGGUGGAAAAGUAGUGAUUUCUAAUAUUAAAACAGCUUCAGAUCCUGAAAAUUAUUCAGACCACAGUGAUAAGCAAUCUGAAUCUGGUUCACAUCAGUCCACAGAUGAUUUGAAGCACCAAAGGGAGGUUUCAGGCCAACAAAAGCUCGCUGAAGGUGACCCAGGUCAGAGUUCUGCAGAUCUUGAGCUUUUGAGCUUUGGUGAUGCCGAGUCAGAGGAACGAUUAAGUGACAUAUCAGAUAGUGGUCUUUCCAUGGGAACAGAAACUGAUGGUUCGAGUAGUGUCAUUGAGUUUACUCUCUUUCCUGAGCAAUGCAAACCAGCAGAGGUCACAAAAGAGAAAACAACGCCAAAAGUUCCAACUCGAAUACCAAAACCACCUCCACAAAAUAUUGGGCAAACAACAUCAACACGAUUAAAACUAAAAGAGACUCCAAAGUCACCAACUCUCUCUGGAUUUGUUCACAAACUUUGCUCCUCUAUUGUUGAAGGCAAAACUCUCAGUCCAGAUCGAUGACUGGCUUAACAAGGAUGAACAAUAUCUUGCUUUACCUGAAUCCUGAAAGAUGGAAGAUUAAAUGGGAGAAAGAAGAUUUUGAUACAGAUGGCUUUGCUGAUUUUGUUCUUUAUUUUGAAGGAGAUAAUCGAUCCUUUGCACCAUCUAGACGGUAUGGAAAAGCCAGGUAUUAAUGAAGUUAUAGAAUGAAAUGAUGGUCUUUCCAGAAAGAAUCUGAUGGAGGUGGGUUCUGAAGUGCUUCCAUUUUUGAUAACUCUCCAAAAAAAUAUUGGUUUUCUACCGGCAAUGUUACGAAAAAAAAUAUAAACCCAAAUUUUUGGACCAUGUCUAAACACUGCUUCCAACUUGUGUUUCCAAGAGGUUUUUCAACGAUCGCAGCAGGAUGUCCUUGUAUCAACUAAUGACUCUAAGGCUGAUUUCAGCUGAAUGCUUGAUAUGAUUACUGUCCUUGUUUUCUUUGUUCAUAUUGAUGAAAGCUUUGUUUGGGGAGUGUUGUUUCAAUGCCCUGUAUAGCUG